Molecule: ribosomal RNA, 254 nt
Filed under: uncultured bacterium
Lineage: Bacteria
Description: partial 16S ribosomal RNA
Rfam family: Bacterial small subunit ribosomal RNA
Source: RNAcentral
UACGAAGGGGGCUAGCGUUGCUCGGAAUCACUGGGCGUAAAGGGUGCGUAGGCGGGUCUUUAAGUCAGGGGUGAAAUCCUGGAGCUCAACUCCAGAACUGCCUUUGAUACUGAGGAUCUUGGAGUUCGGGAGAGGUGAGUGGAACUGCGAGUGUAGAGGUGAAGUUCGUAGAUAUUCGCAAGAACACCAGUGGCGAAGGCGGCUCACUGGCCCGAUACUGACGCUGAGGCACGAAAGCGUGGGGAGCAAACAGG